RNAcentral lists this ribosomal RNA (490 nucleotides) under uncultured bacterium. RNAcentral describes it as "partial 16S ribosomal RNA". It matches the Rfam family "Bacterial small subunit ribosomal RNA", at positions 28 to 507 of the family's 1533-position model. The record is from RNAcentral.
GAUGAACGCUAGCUACAGGCUUAACACAUGCAAGUCGCGGGGCAGCAUGGGGGUUGCUUGCAAUCCCCGAUGGCGACCGGCGCACGGGUGAGUAACGCGUAUCCAACCUGCCCUUCACCACGGGAUAACCCGGCGAAAGUCGGACUAAUACCGUAUGUUGUCCAUUGACGGCAUCCGAUUUGGACGAAAGGUUUGGCGGUGAAGGAUGGGGAUGCGUCCGAUUAGCUGGACGGCGGGGUGACGGCCCACCGUGGCGACGAUCGGUAGGGGUUCUGAGAGGAAGGUCCCCCACACUGGAACUGAGACACGGUCCAGACUCCUACGGGCGGCAGCAGUGAGGAAUAUUGGUCAAUGGGCGUAAGCCUGAACCAGCCAAGUAGCGUGCAGGAUGACGGCCCUAUGGGUUGUAAACUGCUUUUAUGCGGGGAUAAAGUGGCCCACGUGUGGGUUUUUGCAGGUACCGCAUGAAUAAGGACCGGCUAAUUCCGUG